RNAcentral lists this ribosomal RNA (497 nucleotides) under uncultured bacterium. RNAcentral describes it as "partial 16S ribosomal RNA". It matches the Rfam family "Bacterial small subunit ribosomal RNA", at positions 28 to 507 of the family's 1533-position model. The record is from RNAcentral.
GAUGAACGCUGGCGGCGUGCCUAAUACAUGCAAGUCGAGCGAACGGACGAGAAGCUUGCUUCUCUGAUGUUAGCGGCGGACGGGUGAGUAACACGUGGAUAACCUACCUAUAAGACUGGGAUAACUUCGGGAAACCGGAGCUAAUACCGGAUAAUAUUUUGAACCGCAUGGUUCAAAAGUGAAAGACGGUCUUGCUGUCACUUAUAGAUGGAUCCGCGCUGCAUUAGCUAGUUGGUAAGGUAACGGCUUACCAAGGCAACGAUGCAUAGCCGACCUGAGAGGGUGAUCGGCCACACUGGAACUGAGACACGGUCCAGACUCCUACGGGAGGCAGCAGUAGGGAAUCUUCCGCAAUGGGCGCAAGCCUGACGGAGCAACGCCGCGUGAGUAAUGAAGGUCUUCGGAUCGUAAAACUCUGUUAUUAGGGAAGAACAUAUGUGUAAGUAACUGUGCACAUCUUGACGGUACCUAAUCAGAAAGCCACGGCUAACUACGUG